This 492-nucleotide ribosomal RNA is filed under the name uncultured bacterium. Its description in RNAcentral is "partial 16S ribosomal RNA". It matches the Rfam family "Bacterial small subunit ribosomal RNA", at positions 29 to 507 of the family's 1533-position model. The record is from RNAcentral.
AGUGAACGCUGGCGGUAGGCCUAACACAUGCAAGUCGAACGGCAGCACAGUAAGAGCUUGCUCUUACGGGUGGCGAGUGGCGGACGGGUGAGGAAUACAUCGGAAUCUACUUUUUCGUGGGGGAUAACGUAGGGAAACUUACGCUAAUACCGCAUACGACCUACGGGUGAAAGUAGGGGAUCUUCGGACCCUGCGCGAUUGAAUGAGCCGAUGUCGGAUUAGCUAGUUGGCGGGGUAAAGGCCCACCAAGGCGACGAUCCGUAGCUGGUCUGAGAGGAUGAUCAGCCACACUGGAACUGAGACACGGUCCAGACUCCUACGGGAGGCAGCAGUGGGGAAUAUUGGACAAUGGGCGCAAGCCUGAUCCAGCCAUACCGCGUGGGUGAAGAAGGCCUUCGGGUUGUAAAGCCCUUUUGUUGGGAAAGAAAAGCAGCAGGUUAAUACCCCGCUGUUCUGACGGUACCCAAAGAAUAAGCACCGGCUAACUUCGUG